Molecule: long non-coding RNA, 399 nt
Organism: Ochotona princeps (American pika)
Lineage: Eukaryota; Metazoa; Chordata; Mammalia; Lagomorpha; Ochotonidae
Exons: 3
Source: RefSeq, a predicted model, not a curated record
UUGUGGGACCUAGUCAAUUAAGGGCAAAUUCUAGGCACCUGAAUCCCUCAGAACAGUAGCUGUGGGGACGGCGGGUUCGUUUGGAAGGGUUUUCACAGAGGACAGAGCUUUUUUAAGGGUCACGGGAGAAGUGGAUAUUUGAGUACAGGUUUAUCUGACUUCGAGUCAAAAUUGGCCCCUCCAUCUCCACUUCACAUUUUGAGAAGUGUUCCUUGGAUUGCCUUCCUCAGUGUCUCCAAGUACAAACAUUAGCUGUGUUUCCUACAGCAUGGAGGUGUCGCCAUGAGAUGCUGCGAAAGAAUCACAUAUUUAUGUAUCAUUUGAAUGAAAAAGAGACUCCUCAAGUAAUAUCUGAUCAGAUAAACUUGAAACAUAUUACCCAUGUAAUAAUUGCUCCAC